AAUUACCCACUCCCAGCACGGGGAGGUAGUGACGAAAAAUAACGAUACGGGACUCAUCCGAGGCCCCGUAAUCGGAAUGAGUACACUCUAAACACGUUCCCGAAAAUCAAUUGGAGGGUAAGUCUGGUGCCAGCAGCCGCGGUAAUUCCAGCUCCAAUAGCGUAUAUUAAAGUUGUUGCGGUUAAAAAGCUCGUAGUCGAAUGUGUGUCCCGCGCCGCCGGUUCAUCGCUCGCGGUGUUCAACUGGCGUGUCUCGCGGGACGUCCUGCCGGUGGGAUCACGUAUCGUUUCGGCGGUGCGUCUCCCAACUCGUCUCCGCCUUGCGCGGUUGCGAAUCCCAUCGCGGUGCUCUUUAUUGAGUGUCGAGGUGGGCCGGCACGUUUACUUUGAACAAAUUAGAGUGCUUAAAGCAGGCCAGUUUUGCCUGAAUAUUCUGUGCAUGGAAUAAUGGAAUAGGACCUCGGUUCUAUUUUGUUGGUUUUCGGAACCCCGAGGUAAUGAUUAAUAGGAACGGAUGGGGGCAUUCGUAUUGCGACGUUAGAGGUGAAAUUCUUGGAUCGUCGCAAGACGGACAGAAGCGAAAGCAUUUGCCAAAAACGUUUUCAUUGAUCAAGAACGAAAGUUAGAGGUUCGAAGGCGAUCAGAUACCGCCCUAGUUCUAACCAUAAACGAUGCCAGCUAGCGAUCCGCCGACGUUCCUCCGAUGACUCGGCGGGCAGCUUCCGGGAAACCAAAGCUUUUGGGUUCCGGGGGAAGUAUGGUUGCAAAGCUGAAACUUAAAGGAAUUGACGGAAGGGCACCACCAGGAGUGGGGCCUGCGGCUUAAUUUGACUCAACACGGGUAACCUCACCAGGUCCAGACACCGGAAGGAUUGACAGAUUGAGAGCUCUUUCUUGAUUCGGUGGGUGGUGGUGCAUGGCCGUU
Molecule: ribosomal RNA, 924 nt
Filed under: Pella caliginosa
Lineage: Eukaryota; Metazoa; Arthropoda; Insecta; Coleoptera; Staphylinidae
Description: SSU rRNA
Rfam family: Eukaryotic small subunit ribosomal RNA
Source: RNAcentral